This 664-nucleotide ribosomal RNA is filed under the name Tarsostenodes guttulus. RNAcentral's name for it is "eukaryotic LSU rRNA". It matches the Rfam family "Eukaryotic large subunit ribosomal RNA", at positions 653 to 1270 of the family's 3401-position model. The record is from RNAcentral. Lineage: Eukaryota; Metazoa; Arthropoda; Insecta; Coleoptera; Cleridae.
CUUGAAACACGGACCAAGGAGUCUAGCAUGUGCGCGAGUCAUUGGGAAUAACUAAACCUAAAGGCGCAAUGAAAGUGAAGGUUCGUCUCGCGCGAACCGAGGGAAGAUGGGCGUGCCGUGUUCAUCGCGGCCGCUCCGCACUCCCGGGGCGUCUCGUUCUCAUCGCGAGAAGAGGCGCACCAAGAGCGUACACGCUGGGACCCGAAAGAUGGUGAACUAUGCCUGGUCAGGACGAAGUCAGGGGAAACCCUGAUGGAGGUCCGUAGCGAUUCUGACGUGCAAAUCGAUCGUCGGAACUGGGUAUAGGGGCGAAAGACUAAUCGAACCAUCUAGUAGCUGGUUCCCUCCGAAGUUUCCCUCAGGAUAGCUGGCGCUCGUCGCCUACGAGUCUCAUCCGGUAAAGCGAAUGAUUAGAGGCAUUGGGGUCGAAACGGCCUCAACCUAUUCUCAAACUUUAAAUGGGUGAGAUCUCCGGCUUGCUCGAACUAUUGAAGCCGCGAGACACGGAUCAGAGUGCCAAGUGGGCCAUUUUUGGUAAGCAGAACUGGCGCUGUGGGAUGAACCAAACGCCGAGUUAAAGCGCCUAAAUCGACGCUUAUGGGAUACCAUGAAAGGCGUUGGUAACUUAAGACAGCAGGACGGUGGCCAUGGAAGUCGGAAACCG